This 864-nucleotide ribosomal RNA is filed under the name Rosellinia necatrix. RNAcentral's name for it is "partial large subunit ribosomal RNA". It matches the Rfam family "Eukaryotic large subunit ribosomal RNA", at positions 56 to 947 of the family's 3401-position model. The record is from RNAcentral. Lineage: Eukaryota; Fungi; Ascomycota; Sordariomycetes; Xylariales; Xylariaceae.
GAAAGAAACCAACAGGGAUUGCCUCAGUAACGGCGAGUGAAGCGGCAACAGCUCAAAUUUGAAAUCUGGCCCUCGGGUCCGAGUUGUAAUUUGUAGAGGAUGCUUUUGGCGCGGUGCCUUCCGAGUUCCCUGGAACGGGACGCCUUAGAGGGUGAGAGCCCCGUACGGUUGGACACCAAGCCUCUGUAAAGCUCCUUCGACGAGUCGAGUAGUUUGGGAAUGCUGCUCUAAAUGGGAGGUAAAUUUCUUCUAAAGCUAAAUAUUGGCCAGAGACCGAUAGCGCACAAGUAGAGUGAUCGAAAGAUGAAAAGCACUUUGAAAAGAGGGUUAAAUAGCACGUGAAAUUGUUGAAAGGGAAGCGUUUGCGACCAGACCUUUUCCUGGCGGAUCAUCCGGUGUUCUCACCGGUGCACUUCGCCAGGUCGAGGCCAGCAUCGGUUUCCGCGGGGGGAUAAAAGCUCUGGGAACGUAGCUCCUCCGGGAGUGUUAUAGCCCUCUGCACAAUACCCCCGCGGGGACCGAGGACCGCGCUCUAAGCAAGGAUGCUGGCGUAAUGGUUGUCAACGACCCGUCUUGAAACACGGACCAAGGAGUCGAACAUUUGUGCGAGUGUUUGGGUGUCAAACCCUCACGCGUAAUGAAGGUGAACGUAGGUGAGAGCCCUUACGGGUGCAUCAUCGACCGAUCCUGAUGUCUUCGGAUGGAUUUGAGUAAGAGCAUAACUGUUCGGACCCGAAAGAUGGUGAACUAUGCGUGGAUAGGGUGAAGCCAGAGGAAACUCUGGUGGAGGCUCGCAGCGGUUCUGACGUGCAAAUCGAUCGUCAAAUCUGCGCAUGGGGGCGAAAGACUUAUCGAACCAUCUAG